Long non-coding RNA from Oxyura jamaicensis (ruddy duck), 274 nucleotides. RefSeq lists it as uncharacterized. Lineage: Eukaryota; Metazoa; Chordata; Aves; Anseriformes; Anatidae. The record is from RefSeq and is a predicted model, not a curated record. The transcript is spliced from 4 exons.
GCUCAGGUUGGAAGGGACCUUAAGGGUUAUCUAACUCCAGCCCUCAAUUAGUUAUUUAUAACUAAUAUCCAGUGUUUUAGCAGUUUUAAAACACUGUAGUCAUACACUGGCAUUCCUGUCCUCCAGCCCCUUUCUUACACCGUUAGGAGCAAGUCAACAAUACACUCACAUUUCAUCCACUUGUGGGGGAAAAAAAAAGAAGAAAAAGGAACUCAAGCAAUGUUUUUCCCCAUCACACUCCAAAGACAAUUCAAACCUUGCUGCUACUGAGGCU